CUACGUGCCAGCAGCCGCGGUAAUACGUAGGUCCCGAGCGUUAUCCGGAAUUAUUGGGUUUAAAGGGAGCGCAGGCGGGAGUAUAAGUCAGCUGUUAAAUAUCAGAGCCCAACUCUGUUAUGCAGUUGAAACUAUAUUUCUUGAGUACGCACAGGGAUGGCGGAAUUCAGGGUGUAGCGGUGAAAUGCUUAGAUAUCCUGAAGAACUCCGAUCGCGAAGGCAGCCAUCCGGAGCGUAACUGACGCUGAGGCUCGAAGGUGCGGGUAUCGAACAGGAUUAGAUACCCUGGUAGUCCGCACGGUAAACGAUGAAUACUCGCAGUUCGGCCGUUUAGGUCGAGUUGUCCAGCGAAAGCGUUAAGUAUUCCACCUGGGGAGUACGCCGGCAACGGUGAAACUCAAAGGAAUUGACGGGGGCCCGCGCAAGCGGAGGAACAUGUGGUUUAAUUCGAUGAUACGCGAGGAACCUUACCCGGGCUUGAAC
RNAcentral lists this ribosomal RNA (483 nucleotides) under uncultured bacterium. RNAcentral describes it as "bacterial SSU rRNA". It matches the Rfam family "Bacterial small subunit ribosomal RNA", at positions 501 to 986 of the family's 1533-position model. The record is from RNAcentral.